UACGGAGGGUGCAAGCGUUGUCCGGAAUCAUUGGGUGUAAAGGGUGCGUAGGCGGGCGUCUAAGUCUGGGGUGAAAUCUUGCCGCUUAACGGUAAAAUGGCCUUGGAUACUGGACGUCUUGAGUGUAGAAGAGGUAAGUGGAAUUCGUAGUGUAGCGGUGAAAUGCAUAGAUAUUACGAAGAACAUCAGUGGCGAAGGCG
This 200-nucleotide ribosomal RNA is filed under the name uncultured bacterium. RNAcentral's name for it is "partial 16S ribosomal RNA". It matches the Rfam family "Bacterial small subunit ribosomal RNA", at positions 524 to 723 of the family's 1533-position model. The record is from RNAcentral.